This is a long non-coding RNA of Drosophila ananassae, 2468 nucleotides long. RefSeq lists it as uncharacterized. Lineage: Eukaryota; Metazoa; Arthropoda; Insecta; Diptera; Drosophilidae. The record is from RefSeq and is a predicted model, not a curated record. The transcript has 3 exons.
AUAGAGGCAUGUGGGGAGCAGUGUGGAAUGAAUCAGAAUCAAAAACAAUUAUAUUUUAAAUGAAAAGCCAAGUAGAAGCCAUUAAUAUUUGAUGAUUCCUAUGCAGUUUCUGGCAGCCGUGGAGUUAAAUUUGAAGCGGCAUAAUGAGCACGUGUCGCCCAAAAGUGGGCCAGGUCCUGGUAGCAGGAUGGCAUAGUGGCAGGGUGGCAGGGUGGCCGAGACGGGGUAACAAGGACAUGAGAUUGUUGGCCCGGGAAAGCGUUCGUGCGAAAUGGAAACAGAAGCUAUGAAAGGCACGAAGCGGCUCAAGAUAGACACCCCUUGCCUGGCCGACACAUGGAAUCAAGGAAAACGCUGUUUAAGAAUCCUUCUUCCUUCACACACACACACACACACAUACAGUUUACAAGUUGACUGCACUCUCAGAAAACACUAAAAAAAAAUAUAUUUUUUUUUUUUGACUAAAAAUGGGAUUGAAGUUCAACUGAAGUAAAAAAAUAUUUUUAGUUAAAAUUUGGAUUUUUUUAAGCUUUAAAAUUUGUUAAUAAAAACUCAUAAAUUUCUUCCAGUGCUGGCGCAUAACGAAGCAAUCGAAAUGCAUUUGAAUCCAAGGGAUACAGGAGCGGGAAAAUGGAAGAUUGAAGCCACAGCUGCUGCAAAGGAAAAACCACCAAGGGUGUGAGUGUGAGUGAUUUCGGGUCUUGGUAUUUGGGUAAGCAGUAAAAAAAGGCUCAGGCACACGAACUGAACCGACCCCAAAAAAAAAGAGCCAGCACUCACCACACAAAACGAUUUACAAGACACUAAAGCGGUGGAGAAAAAGGAAAAAAUAUCCUCUGGAAAAUAGAGAUGAGACACGGCAGGGAAGUAGGUGUUGAGAUCUCGGGAUUAGGAAUUCUUUUUCGUAAAAUGUUAAAAAAAAAAACUUAUAAAAAUAAGCUUUAGAUAAUUUUCUAGAAAAAUAAAAGCUUAAAUUUAUAAACAAUCACACUUGUUUAGAAAAAUAAGUUUAAUUUCAAGUUUCAAGCAAAAUUUAAACUUCAAAACUUUUGAAAACACUUCAAUAAUUAACCGUUAGGUUGGGGGAGCUUAUGCUCAUCUCUAGAAAACAAAGAAAUCAGGAAAAGGAAAAAAAUAUCCUCUGGAAAAUAGAGAUGGCAGGGAAAUAGGUGUUGAGAUCUCGGGAUUAGGAAUUCUUUCUCGUUUGUUUGAAAAUUUAAAAAAAAAUACCUACAAAAAUAAGGUUUAGAUAAUUUCAAAGAAAAAUUAAAGCUUAUAGUUUUAAAAAAAAAAAUAGUUUUAAUUCAAAUUUUCAACCAAAAAUUUUAGACUUAAAAUACCGUUACUUUUGAAAACACUCCAAUAAUUAACCGUUAGGAUGGGGGAGCUUAUGCUCAUCUCUAGAAAACAAAAAAAAAAUCAGGCAAACUAAAGGUGUGUCAUCUGGCAAGUUGGAUGGGGAGAGGGGGAAACAACACCAACAACAACAAGAAGAAUAAGAACAACAACAACCACAGGAAGCAACAACUACUGUAAGAAUCGCGCUGAGGCCGCGGCCAGAGGAGACAAGUAUCUCAGGAAGGGGCUGGAGCGGAAGCCGCAACGCGAGCAGCGCGUAAGCAAUUGGACAGAGUCCACAUGGCAGGGCAGGGCACACCUGGAGCAGAGCCGGCUUCUGCCGGACGGGCGAAGAAGUCCCCAAAAAAAUAAAGAAACUAAUGUUCUCGCAUUUGGCAAAAAAUCAAUUUUUUUCUUCUUGUGAUUGCCAAAUGCAAGUCGCAGGGGGCAGGACAUGCAAAGAUGAAAAAAAGGACCAAUCUGACACGCUUUGGGGCAACACCUUCACGCAGUUGCGGUGUCUUGUAUUUCGGCAGUCCUUUCGGCCUGGCCUGCUAAUUAUUGACAUAACAAAUGUGGAGCUCCCAUCACGCCUUCCUCAGAAGCCAGAAGCCCCCGAAAAAAAAGGGAAAAUAUUCACUUGGCCCGGAUGACGACAGGGCCGAGGAGCCGAAGAGCCGUAAUUUGCCACGUUUUGUUUCGCUCCUCUCACGCACACACCGACACACACACACACACACACGAACACACGGCACACGUCAAUCACCUCUGGUAUUUGCCAACAACAACAGCAGGAACAACAACAACGUUUCUCGGCACCCUGUUAGGCCCCAUUAACAACAACAAAUAAAACAACAAAAGCUUAUUCUUCUGUCAGAGAACAACAACGGUGCGUAUCAGUGAUGCUUUUAUUGGGUGGGCCCUGUGGAGGAGCAUUCGUUAGUGCACGAGGCGCCCUGUUAGCUUGAGCGAUACCCACGACAGGUUGCAGGUAUCCAAAAGUAACGAGUCACAGUCACGAGUUUCAGAUACUUUUUUGAGUUUUCAUUUUCAUCAAUUCAAUUUGAUUAAUAUUUUAAGUUUUUGAAGUUAAAUUAAUUAAAUUAAAUCUUUACAUCUUUGAAAUAUAU